ACAAUAUAUUUUGACUGUAAAUAUAUUGAAAUAUAUACAAGUUCAUUUUAACUAAUUUUACUCAUUUAAACUUUUUAAAAAUAUUUAUAUUAAUAAACAUUUUAAAUUUUUUGUACUUAGGUUUAUAUAUAUAUAUAUAUAUAUAUAUAUAUAUAGAUAGAUAGAUAGAUAGAUAGAUACACUGUAUAUAUUAGUUACAAAAAUACCUUAAUAUAUUGUAAAACAUAUAUACUACACUACAUUACAUUACAUACUUUUACACUACAUUAAGGUAUUUUUUUUUUGCCCCACUGGCAAAUAGAUGUUUUUUUCUGUUUUAAGCAUGAACUUGAAUAUUUUUUUUCUGUUUCCAGAUUUAUGCUUAAAAUAAGGUUUUAUGUGUGCCCUAACCUCUCUGCAUGUGUAUGUACAUGUGCUGCGGGACAUUCUUGAGAUGACAGACAUGCACACCUACAGGAGCUCAGGGGUGAAGCCCCCCCAUGGCGAAGGAAACGGCCCGAAGAAAGGCCUCAUGCUGGAGGGAGAGGGGCCCGGCAGCUUCCUCAACAAUGGAAGUUCUUGGAAGAUUCUAGGAAGGAUCAGACCUGAGGUGAUUCCCUGUGUUUUUGGAGGGCUUUGGUUUAAAGAUGAGCUUUUGAAACACUCUGGAAUCCUUGUCAGGACGUUUUCUUGCUUCCUACUGAACAGCCUCAGGACACAAGCUUAACAUGCACUGACGUGUGUGUUCAACCCUCCUACAGAUGUUGCAACUUUUGUUCUUAGUGUUCAUAAUAUUAAGUGUGUGAAAUUUAAUGGUUGACGAUAAAGAUUUUAAAAACACAUUUGCUUACUGAAACAUUUUUUCUGUGAAAUGUGAUCUGUUUCAGCCACAGACCCUUAAGAAUUAUCAAGUUGUUUGACUGAAACUUAAACGUGAAACUAACUGGGAGCAGUUUCUUUUUCCAGAUCUCGUCUCUUUUGUAAUAGUCUCGCUUUCGCCGCUUUCGUCUACAACUUCAGAUUGGAUCAGGGGCCAGUUGUGUAGAUGUCAGCACAUUUACAUGUUAGACUGGAUGCUGAAUUCACAAUGCAGACUGUCAGGAGACAAACUUUGCUUAAAUUCUUUCCAAAGCAUCCAUGACCCAACAGGUUUAAGCACAAAAGAUAAAAGGAGAGUAAGCAAUGGAGGUCCAAAACCCGUUUUGACACUUGUUGCAAAACCGUCAGUGCUCAGCCUGGACUUGCUUCUUUUUCUGAGGGAAGCGAUAAAGGUCACCAGAAGUCCAAAUGCUGUAUUAUUACAAUUUAAACAUGUUUAAAAUAUACUUUAUUCCUGUCAUGACAAAGCUGAUUUUUCAGCAUCAUUACUCCAGUCAGUUCAGUGUCACAUUCAAUUCAAUUCAAGUUUAUUUGUAUAGCGCUUUUUACGAUACAAAUCAUUACAAAGCAACUUUACAGAAAAUUAAGUUUCUACAAUAUUUAGUAGUAGCUUAUCAGUGGUGAUUGUCAGUUCAUGUGCAUAUAGCAGAAAUGUUCAGAAAAAUCAAUAAGAAGACGUAAACAAACAGACGAUUAACACUAUUAACAGCAAUUAUGCAAUCAAACUUAUAGCAAAAUGUGGUAGUUCUGUAUGUUGUCUCUGGGUUAGCAUCAUCUGAGGUCCUCUGAGGGGCUGGCAUCAUCUCUUCUCAGGUGUUCUGGAUCCAGACUGGAGCUUGUGUAAAUCCUAGUUACCACGGGAUGUAAAUCCCACAUGAUCCUUCAGAAAUCAUUUUAAUAUGCUGAUUUGCUGCUCAAGUGCUUAUUAUGAUCAAUGUUGAAAACAGUUGAGCUGCUUCAUAUUUUUUUUUAAACGUUUCAUUUUUUCCUGAUAAAUAGAUAGAAAAUGAAAGCAUUUAUUUUAAAUUGAAAUCUUUCAUCAUUUUAUAAUUGGCACUUUUGACAAAUGUUUGCUGCAUAAAAGCACUAAUUUCUUUAUUGAAAAAUAUCUCUAAAUAGGCACCAUUUAUCAAAUACAAAAAUAUUUUUAGACAUUUUAUUUAACAUUAAAUUAAUUGUACAUCUGUGCUGCUCUUCAAGAGCCAACUAGGACAGUGAGUCAAAUAUUUACCCACAGUGCCUGUGGCAUCAUUUUUGAAUACUAGUAUGAAUUUGACUUUCAAAUAUUCAUUCAGAUAAUGGCUUAAUUUUAAUUUAAUUUAACGAGAAAGGAUGGGCCCUUUGACGCAUAUGGUGGGAAAAGAGAGAAAGGCAUUAAACCAAAUCAGCAGUUUUUACCAAUCACACUAAAGUAUAUGGUUUAUGCUUCAUAAUUUGGUUCGCUAUAAAACAAGUUUUAAGCAUAAAGGUUCAGUUAUGGGUUUCAUGUGGGGCAAGUUUGUGCUCAGUGUUUCAAUGCGGUAACUCCUACACUUCAGUGUUUUAUUGACCCACUGCAAUCAGGGCCUUUAGACUUUCAACAAAUGUCAACCCUGCCACCCCCUCACCUUGACCCAAAUUCCAUCACUCAAACAUUCCUGCUUUUCUUUAAAGGUUUUAUUCUUGUGCAACUCUGUGUGUGCCAGCAAUUUCUCAGGUGAAGAAACCACACCUUGAAAUCGUUAAGUUGAUGUUAUUCUGAUGUGAUUAUCUGCAUUGUGCCAGUAGAAAAAAGAUCCAAACAACAUGUCAUCUUGCUCAUUCUUUAUUACUUUAUAAAACAAAGUGCAGUUGAAGAUGAACAGAACCUUUUUUUUUUUUCAAAAACCUGCAAAUGAACCAAGAAGAAAAAGCCUAAAUAAUUUAUAAUACAUAAUUAAAAGGUGGUAUUUACAUGAAAAAAAAAAACAAAAAAAAAACAUUCUAUACAGUUGCCAUUAUGAAGGCAAUAAAAUAGCCAGGUUUCUUCCUGGUAGAGGUAGA
Long non-coding RNA from Cyprinus carpio (common carp), 2880 nucleotides. The record is from Ensembl. Lineage: Eukaryota; Metazoa; Chordata; Actinopteri; Cypriniformes; Cyprinidae.